UGUUAUAAAGGAGGGUAUGAGAAAUCUUAUGCUUGGCACAGUUGGAAUAGUUUGCAACCAUCUUAAUCAGGGUUGCCUUGGAGUUGAUUUAACCCUGAAGCAUGAGUUUUGUUCUAGACAGACUUCUGAAUGGACUUCUGAAUGUACUUUGAAGUGGAUGUGGAGAGGAACAGUUUACUUGUCUGGUGCAAUUACAAUAUCUCUGGAGCAGAGACGGCCUCCUACAAUUGCUGAAGUAAGGCUGGACCUGGCUUUACCUGGAGCCAAUAGGUGCUGAUGCAACACCAAAGCAUCAGGUCACAGGCAAGAAUCCUAACAUAACAAGAUCUGAAGUUGAAGCUUAACAUCCCAUUUUGACAUAGAAAUGUUUGCCAUGACGAGCCUUCAUUCUGCUCUAAAGAACAGGACUUUGUAUGGUUUUAUCAUCAACCAGCAGAAAUCAGUAUCCACCACUGACAAGCAUUUUCUUGAAGCUUGGUCAGCUGUCACUUCCCUUACAGUCCGCAUCAGAAAUGAAAUGACAGUGACAUCAGAAAU
This is a long non-coding RNA of Corvus hawaiiensis (hawaiian crow), 537 nucleotides long. RefSeq lists it as uncharacterized. Lineage: Eukaryota; Metazoa; Chordata; Aves; Passeriformes; Corvidae. The record is from RefSeq and is a predicted model, not a curated record. The transcript has 4 exons.